This 247-nucleotide ribosomal RNA is filed under the name uncultured bacterium. Its description in RNAcentral is "partial small subunit ribosomal RNA". It matches the Rfam family "Bacterial small subunit ribosomal RNA", at positions 26 to 288 of the family's 1533-position model. The record is from RNAcentral.
AGGACGAACGCUGGCGGCGUGCUUAACACAUGCAAGUCGAGCGAACCUUCGGGUUAGCGGCGAACGGGUGAGUAACACGUGGGCAACCUGCCCCGAGCUCUGGGAUAACUCCGGGAAACCGGGGCUAAUACCGGAUAUGACCCGAGAAGACAUCUUCUCGGGUGGAAAGUUUUUCGGCUCGGGAUGGGCCCGCGGCCUAUCAGCUUGUUGGUGGGGUAAUGGCCUACCAAGGCGACGACGGGUAGCC